GCCAUCCAGCUGGGUAUUAGAAGAGAACCAAACCUUGUUUUGGCCACAAGGAGUUAAUGCUGAGAAUGCCCUUCAAAAUCAGCAAGAACCAGACCCUGCAUCAUGGAGAAAGUUUAUGUUGAAAAAAGUGAAGAUCACUUCUGAUAGUUUUCAAGAAUGCGAUACCUACCAUCUGACAUCUACGGUGGAGAGUUCUGAGAGCAACAGUGAUCCUGAUGAAGGUCUACUCAUGAGAAAAAGGAGAAAACGUUGUAAGAAAAAUCUGCCUGAUGACUUUGUCAGCAGUGAAAACUUACAUGAAGCUGUCCACAUGAAGCCAGCC
Eriocheir sinensis (Chinese mitten crab) is the source of this 322-nucleotide long non-coding RNA. RefSeq lists it as uncharacterized. The transcript is spliced from 3 exons. NCBI's taxonomy places the organism in Eukaryota, Metazoa, Arthropoda, Malacostraca, Decapoda, Varunidae. The record is from RefSeq and is a predicted model, not a curated record.